RNAcentral lists this non-coding RNA (29 nucleotides) under Mus musculus (house mouse). The record is from RNAcentral. Lineage: Eukaryota; Metazoa; Chordata; Mammalia; Rodentia; Muridae.
UAGGCUCUUAUAUUCUCACAUACAGGCAC